UACAGAAGGUCCCGAGCGUUGUUCGGAUUCACUGGGCGUAAAGGGUGCGCAGGUGGCUUGGCAAGUUUGAUGUGAAAGCUCAGGGCUUAACCCUGAAAUGGCAUUGAAUACUGUUGAGCUGGAGGUUUGGAGGGGGGACUGGAAUUCUUGGUGUAGCAGUGAAAUGCGUAGAUAUCAAGAGGAACACCAGUGGCGAAGGCGAGUCCCUGGACAACACCUGACACUGAGGCACGAAAGCUAGGGGAGCAAACAGG
RNAcentral lists this ribosomal RNA (254 nucleotides) under uncultured bacterium. Its description in RNAcentral is "partial 16S ribosomal RNA". It matches the Rfam family "Bacterial small subunit ribosomal RNA", at positions 524 to 776 of the family's 1533-position model. The record is from RNAcentral.